AAGCCUGGCAACACUUCCGGUAUAAGGACGCCUCCUCGACCAAUCGCAUGGCAGAGCGUCAGCAAGUCGACACGAAAGGAAUCUACUAUGGCUGUCAGCGCGCAAUCUUUGUUGGUUUUUCUUGGAAUUAUUUUCACAUUCUUUUAUGCCGCUGGUACUUCGGUUCCAGAUGGUAUGCAGAAGGAAGUGUAUUGUCUGGGAUGUGAGACAACAAUGAAAGUAUUUGACCGUCUGCUGAGGGGUGUCCCUAAAGACAAACUUGAUGGGACUUUGGCUACAGCCUUUCGAGUCAUUGUGUGUGCCAAACAAUUUUGACUUGCAUGAAGUUUCAAAAGAUUUGCUCUCUUCAGCCUGCAAUCAUCUGAUAAAACAGUAUGGACCAACAUUAAAAGAAAUCUUGCUGGCUGAAUACCAUCAACAAAAUCUGCCCACGUAUCUAAACCUUGUGCAGCGUGUAUGCUCAGGACUGACUGGCGCUUGUCAUGGAGUUCUGCAUGAUGACCAUGACCAUGACCCACUGACUGACAAUGCACACAUCAAACUGGAUGCAGCAAGCAGUGAGUUUGUUUUACUUCCUGGCAAAAACUUGAAGAUGGCCAAGCCUGUGAGUGAGAUGCGCGAGGAGUUGUGAUACCACAGGACUUACUUCACUGCCAUUUCCAUGCUUGCAAUAUAAACAUCAAUUAUGUCAGCACAUCUGUCUGUGAACAAGGUUUGUUAACUGAAAGCAUUUGAUAUUAAGUGUUGUUUUCUAAACUUCACCCAAGGAAGCUUCCCUUCCGUGAUAUGUAUCUAUAGGAUACGCUAUUUUACUAACCUUUAUGUGGACAUUUUUAUAGUUUUACACGGAAUCUUUAUUCUACUAUACACUACUAUACCUCAAAAUUUUAAGACUUUACAAUAUAUGUGCUUAUUGUGACUGAAUAAAGUUAUAUUGAUCAGUGUUUUGGUAUCUCCCUCUGUCCUUCAUGACCUUAUUACCAUACCAUCUUCAUGCAAUUUAUCAGCAAUGCAGUUAUAGUGCUUGUUCUUUUUUCUUUGUACUUAAUGCUUUGAAACCAAACCCCUCAAGCAUGACUUACAUCUCUAACAUGUGAAUGUGCACCAACAUCAUACACUGCACACUCUAUCCCACCACCAGGAUUGGUGUUUCAAAGUGCCCAUAUUUUGUUGAAUAUGCUUGUUUGAAUCAAUGCAGGUGAGAAUGACAGAAAAUCAUAUUAUUUUGUGAAUUAAAGCUUUAAACAUAUUUCACUUGCUAAACAAAGUUGAGAGGAGGCUUAGCAUUCCAACCACAUUAUUUCUUGACCAAAGUUAUGUUUCAAGUUUGUUAGUGAUGGUAAUUUUGUGUCGGAAAUAUGAAUAAUAAUUCUUACUUUGAACAGUGGAAUACUCAAUAAAACUUUCUCAAUUAA
Long non-coding RNA from Pomacea canaliculata, 1415 nucleotides. RefSeq lists it as uncharacterized. The record is from RefSeq and is a predicted model, not a curated record. The transcript has 5 exons. NCBI's taxonomy places the organism in Eukaryota, Metazoa, Mollusca, Gastropoda, Architaenioglossa, Ampullariidae.